CGCAGGGCCCGCCGCCUGCCUCCCGCGGGCUGCCCGCGGGGCUCGGCUCGGCUCCGCCCGCGGAGGGAGGGCGGAGGGGAGCGGCCGGGGCCGGCGGGAGGGAGGUGAAGCCGCCGCCGCCUCGCAGGGCGGCGCAAUCGGGGCCGGAGCCAUCGAGCUCCGCGGUCCGGCCGAGAGGGCGGGAGCGGCCCGGGCAGGGCGCGGGCGUCACUGAGGUAAAGCGGCCGGGCCCGGGCCGAGGCGCUGCGAAGGGGAUAGAGCUGCCGCCGUCCUAACUCCUGAGCAGGCAAUGGCGAUUUUAUUGCCUUAUUUAUUUAUUUAGGAUAGCUGUCUCAGAGAGCUGUAGAGCUCUGUUGGUCCUGUUGAGAUUUACAGCCGGUUCUGGUCAGCAUCUGUCGUGACUGCUGAUCCUUGCUGCAUGGUGAGGGCUGGGGCUCCUUCGCACUACACCAGCACAGUAGUGACAUCCAGUUUAUAGUCUGCAUCAUUUAUCAGGCGUAACACAUGCAAAAGUCACAAUUACACACGCGUUUCACCCGUAUACAUUUGACCCCAGAUCAAGAGCAGAUCCCAAGUCACCGAGUCAUUCUGCAUCUUACUGAGGAGAUUUAAGGGCACCAGCCUGCAUUACCGUAUUUGGACAUCGGUUUCAUUUUUGCCGAAUUGCCUGUGGUGAAGAAACAUGAGCACUGAUGCAGCGACCUUUUACAAGAAAUUUCUGCCAAUCUUUAUAAUCCUCAGUGACUACAGCAAUAGAAAAGAAUGUAUUCCUUUGAAUUCAGUGGGACUGUGCAAGUGUUCUCAAGACUGAUGGCUUCCAGGAGGCAGUGAGAGUGUGCAGUGAACCAUGAGCAUCCAGAGACUUGUGCCACGGGACUGAGAACUUGGUGUUUAUGGUUUCUUCUUUCUCUCCUUCUCUUUUGGAUUAACCUGGGUCUGUUUUUACAUGCUUUCAAAUUAGGUUUUUGCCACCCAACACUACGGGGACAGGCAGCUUCUUUUAGGGACCCUUGGCAGAGUGAGGCCUGGCCAUGGGGUUGAGGUUAUAAUUAUAAUUUAUAAUUACAGAAGUAGCAAUCAGCAUAGCUUAUUGUUAUUUACAAUUUUUAUUGAUCAGCAUAGCUUAUUGUUAUAAAGAAUUUCUAGUAAUUAGUGUAACUUUCUUGUUACCUAGAAUUAUUGGGCACCCUGACUUUUUAAUCACAUGGACCCUCUGCAGAUUGGGUUAAAUUCUUAAUAAUAAACUCAUGAUGCAAUAGUCACAAUCUAGACUCAGAAUUCAGCUAAAAGAACACGAGUCAUUUACUCAGUCCCCAGAAGAAGCAGACGAUCCUGGAGACAUCCCUGACCAGCAGGGGAUCACAGGUUUUACAGUCCACCAGCAGUUCCAGUCUCAGUCCUACUUGAGACUUGCAGCUUCUUGGAUUUGUAGGCAGCGUCUCACGUGCUGUAAUGCUUCUCUGUUCUGUAACGGGUGUCAUCACGUCUGGCAAUCCAGCGCCUUGGUGUUAACACUGAUGGACAAACGACCUCAUCACAAUGCCGACAGGAGGCUUCUCUGUUCUAUAACAGGGAUCACCACAUCCUGGUGACAACCCUGGUGGGCAAAUGUUUUUAUUACAAUGCCAAAAAGAAGGGGAGGAAGCCGGGGUAUUAGGUGACCAGUCACCUUACAUAUAAUAGACAUUUGCCUUACAAAAUGGCAUUGGUUAUGCUAACCCUAUUACCAGGUGUCUGGAGCAGGGGGUACUUGUCACAGUUUUACACCUUCCUUUUUCUUCACUGGCCUGCAACUACAUAUAGUGCAUUUUAUUUAUGUUAGAUACUUGUUCUCUGCUCUUGUUUUUACCCCUAAAUUAGUUUUGUCCAGCUCCAGGUCUGCAUUUUUUAACUGCCAAUUGGCAAGUUGUUUAUAGCCUUAGCACCUCCAGCGCCAGUCUGUGCCCCAUCCAUCUUAGCAUCCAUGCAUGUACUCCCCUCUGCUGCAGCUGGUGUCUCAAGGUCGCUGCUAUCCUAACGGGCCUUUAUUACAAUUUAACAUUUUGUUAGAGUCAUAAAUAUAUAAUUCUACACAGAAUAACUUACUAUUAAUAGCUAUAUAAAAACUGUGGUUAUUACCAUACAAAGCAAAGUAAAACAAAUUAGCCAUAGUCUCCUGUCAUUAGAAAAAUUGUUACAGCAAAAUCAAGUAAAACCAAAACUCCAAGAUCAGCAAAUUCAGACAAAGUAAAGCUGAUAAGCCUCCAUCCAGAGGUUCUGUAAAAUCAGGACAAAGGACUGUUAGUAGCAAGUUAGUAGCAAGGACUACAAGGACCACAAGGACUGUUAGUAGCAAUAGCAAUACUGUACUACUGGGCUACAUGGUGUCAUAGAGGCCCCAAUGACACACAGAUUGCAGAAACAUGAAAUUAAGCUAGCUAUUGCACCAAAUCCAGAGAUUUUAAAAAACUAUGCUUUCAAGUGUGGAUGGAUAUCUCCAUAGUGAUUCUGUUUUCCAGAGCAAAGUUGGUCAAUUAAUACUAGCAGGAGAGAUUCAUGGACACUUGCUUAAGGCAUUCAGGUAAAAUGCUAAAGGUUCCCAGAUUACACAAAGAAAAAGAAGGGUCUGUUUAAUUUUACUUAAGUACAGAUGGUUAUUACCUUGCAAUUCUGGACUAGUAUUUUUAUGUUGCAUACUGUAUGUAACAAUAGAGGUAAGGAUUUCCACAACGGGCACAGGAAGGAAGCAGGAAUAGUGCUGACUCAAAAACGAACUAUUGCAAUCUCAACUCAUUGGUUUUAUAAGAGCAGUCCAUAGUCCAUGCAUGCUCAGCUCACACAAUCUGGGUGUGCACACUGCAAACAAGGUCAUAAAAACCUGACAGAACAGUCCCUGAUGAACUGGGAGGCCACGCUAGAAUAGCAUAAUGACUACUCCUUUCACAGUUUAUUUUAAGGAAGUGUGAAAUAUUAAACAUCUUACAGAAUAAAUAUUCUCCAAGUGUAGAACAGGAUAGUUAUUUGAGCUUUUGCCUAGUCAUAGAAUAAAGACUGUU
This is a long non-coding RNA of Cygnus olor (mute swan), 3035 nucleotides long. RefSeq lists it as uncharacterized. The record is from RefSeq and is a predicted model, not a curated record. The transcript has 4 exons. Lineage: Eukaryota; Metazoa; Chordata; Aves; Anseriformes; Anatidae.